This 468-nucleotide ribosomal RNA is filed under the name uncultured bacterium. Its description in RNAcentral is "partial 16S ribosomal RNA". It matches the Rfam family "Bacterial small subunit ribosomal RNA", at positions 28 to 507 of the family's 1533-position model. The record is from RNAcentral.
GACGAACGCUGGCGGCGUGCUUAACACAUGCAAGUCGAACGGAAAGGCCCUGCUUUUGUGGGGUUCUCGAGUGGCGAACGGGUGAGUAACACGUGAGUAACCUGCCCUUGACUUUGGGAUAACUUCAGGAAACUGGGGCUAAUACCGUAUAGGAGCUCCUGCUGCAUGGUGGGGGUUGGAUAGUUUCGGCGGUUGGGGAUGGACUCGCGGCUUAUCAGCUUGUUGGUGGGGUAGUGGCUUACCAAGGCUUUGACGGGUAGCCGGCCUGAGAGGGUGACCGGCGACAUGGGGACUGAGAUACGGCGCAGACUCCUACGGGAGGCAGCAGGGGGGAAUAUUGCACAAUGGGCGGAAGCCUGAUGCAGAAACGCCGCGUGCGGGAUGACGGCCUUCGGGUUGUAAACCGCUUUCGCCUGUGACGAAGCGGGAGUGACGGUAAUGGGUAAAGAAGCACCGGCUAACUACGUG